AACGAACGCCGGCGGCACGCCUAACACAUGCAAGUCGCACGAGAAAGUCCCCGCAAGGGGACCGGUAAAGUGGCAGACGGGUGAGUAACGCGUGGGUAACCUACCCUCGAGUGGGGGAUAACCCCGCGAAAGACGGGGCGUAAUACCGCAUAACAUCCCGGAACCGCGAGUUUCGGGUAGUCGAAGGUGGCUCGCAAGAGCUACCGCUCGGGGAGGGGGCUCACGUUCCAUCAGCUAGUUGGUGGGGUAACGGCCUACCAAGGCGGUGACGGAUAGCUGGUCUGAGAGGACGACCAGCCACACUGGCACUGAGACACGGGCCAGACUCCUACGGGAGGCAGCAGUGAGGAAUCUUGCGCAAUGGACGAAAGUCUGACGCAGCGAUGCCGCGUGGGGAGU
Molecule: ribosomal RNA, 399 nt
Filed under: uncultured bacterium
Lineage: Bacteria
Description: bacterial SSU rRNA
Rfam family: Bacterial small subunit ribosomal RNA
Source: RNAcentral